RNAcentral lists this long non-coding RNA (303 nucleotides) under Linum usitatissimum (flax). Its description in RNAcentral is "long non-coding RNA (LUSI_LNC002155)". The record is from RNAcentral. Lineage: Eukaryota; Viridiplantae; Streptophyta; Magnoliopsida; Malpighiales; Linaceae.
AGAUUGUGGAGAUGAGAUAGUGAGAAUGUCGUCUGAAGGACAGCAAGGGAUCUGCAUUCCUUUGAUACUUAGUACCAUUGAUAAGAUCAACAGGAGAAAGGAUCGGUCCAAUUGAUGAUCUUAUUGAUCUGGGUUUUGUUUCUUGAUUCUGUUCCUUUGCUAUCUUGUACUAGAACAAUGAAAUGGUGUAUGGUACUUUACUUUACCCCCCAAAGAAAAUACAAAUGAGAUAGUAUGAUUUGUUUAUGGACGGAAGACAAGCAAAUAGGGUCUAAGGGAUGGUGGGUGGGUCCCACCUUUUGG